CCAAACUCAGUGCUCCUGAUGCCUGGCCGUCGCUAUGGGAACGCAAACUUUGGACAACAUUGGCUACUCUGACUGACCUGUUAGCUACAGUAGCUAGAUACUUUUACCCCAAAACAAUGAAAUACCUAACGUAGAGAAAUACAUUUCGUUUCCUGGACAAAAUGACUUGGAGAAAUAUCGACCCUUUGUCACUUGAUGAGACCAUUGAUGAAGGGAAAGAGGAGAAGGAUGUGGAGAAGAGAAGAGCCUCGGUGUGGGAACAUCAGGAGCUAGCCCAGAUUCCUAUCAAGGUGCUGAGGGGUCACACAGAUGCUGUCACCGGCUGCCACUUCUGCUUUGAUGACACCAAAGUCCUGACCAGUUCCCAGGACAAGACGGCCGCUCUGUGGGUAGGUCCAUCAAACACAAGUCCACCAAACACUAGGACUGCUUCCCAAAUGAAACACUACUUAUAACCACUAUUCCCUAUAUAGUGCACUACUUAUGACAACUAUUCCCUAUAUAGUGCACUACUUAUGACCACUAUUCCCUAUAUAGUGCACUACUUAUGACCACUAUUCCCUAUAUAGUGCACUACUUAUAACCACUAUUCCCUAUAUAGUGCACUACUUUUGGUGUGCAGGGAAUGUGUAUCCAUUUGGGAGUCGGUGUGUGUUAAUUAAUACAGACGUAAACAUCUCAAGGCAGUUACAAGGUCUGUUAUUUCCUGUCUGUGUGUCUGUCUAUUUCCUGUCUGUGUGUCUGUCUAUUUCCUGUCUGUGUGUCUGUCUAUUUCCUGUCUGUUUGUCUGUUAUUUCCUGUCUGUGUGUCUGUCUAUUUCCUGUCUGUGUGUCUGUCUAUUUCCUGUCUGUGUGUCUGUCUAUUUCCUGUCUGUUUGUCUGUUAUUUCCUGUCUGUGUGUCUGUCUAUUUCCUGCCUUUGUGUCUGUCUAUUUCCUGUCUGUGUGUCUAUUUCCUGUUUGUAUGAUUUCACACACCUAAUCCAUCUCAGUGUUUAUGUGGAUCGUGGUCCACUCCUGGCUGUAGAUGUCGGUCUUAUUUUUUAAUAAUAUAUUCAUGUUGAAAGAUUAUUGUCUGGCCCAUAGAUAUGAAACUGAACUAUAUGAUAUGGCCGUGGCCUAAAUAGCACUCGUAUUCCCUAUAUAGUGCACUACUUAUAACCACUAUUCCCUAUAUAGUGCACUACUUCUGACCAAGGCCUAUAGGUAUGAACCUGAACUAUAUGAUAUGGCCAUGGCCUAAAUAGCACCCGUAUUCCCUAUAUAGUGCACUACUUCUGACCAAGGCCUAUAGGGCUCUGGUCAAGAGUAGUGCACUCUGUAGGGAAUAGGGUGCCAUUAGGGCCACACAUUGUAUGUCUGCUUCUGAAGGACACGGAGAGUGGCGCCGCGCUGUUGGUGUUUGAGAGAGGACAUCUGUCCAACAUCUCUGAGUGUGCCUUGAUCCCUGACAAGAAAAGGUGAGUUGUCAGUGUGUUCCCAUCGCCUACCCUUCUCCAGGAGUGUGCACUCGUACACUCCAAACAUAUUCCUAACACCAGAGGGGGAGUGUACACUUUGCACACUUUGGGAGAAGGGUAGAUCAUCAUAAUGGAGCCUUGCUGUUAUCAGAAUGGACCACAGAAGCCCUUGUCUGUUUGUUGUGACUAGUGAUUUAUACAUGAGUUAUAACUUCAUUUAGUUGUUUUGUUUCCUCAAAUAUCACAUCCCACAUAUCUGGUUAUAGGGCUGGGGAUAGGGAUGGUUAUAGGGCUGGGGAUAGGGCUGGUUAUAGGGCUGGGGAUAGGGAUGGUUAUAGGGCUGGGGAUAGGGCUGGUUAUAGGGCUGG
This 1825-nucleotide long non-coding RNA is filed under the name Oncorhynchus kisutch (coho salmon). RNAcentral's name for it is "lncRNA (ENSOKIG00005028513.1)". Lineage: Eukaryota; Metazoa; Chordata; Actinopteri; Salmoniformes; Salmonidae. The record is from RNAcentral.